GAGUAUGGGCUCUUGGGGGCGCGCGUGUGUGCGUGGGCGCGCAUGUGUAUGGGCUCUUGUGAGCACGCGUGUGUGCGUGGGUUCUUGUGGGUGCGCGUGUGUGCGUGUGUGUGCGCGUGUGUAUGGGCUCUUGUGGGCGCGCAUGUGUGCGUGGGCGUGCGUGUGUGCGUGGGUUCUUGUGGGGGCGCGCGUGUGUGCGGGCGUGCGUGUGUGCGUGGGCUCUUAGGGGCGCGCGUGUGUCCGUGGGCGCGCGUGUGUGCGUGGGCUCUUAGGGGCACGCGUGUGUGCGGGCGCGCGUGUGUGCGUGGGCGUGCGCGUGUGCGUGGGUGUGCGCGUGCGCGUGUACUGCGGCCGGGAGUCCGCUGGGUUCCUUCCCGUGCUGCUCUACCCCCAGGAGGAGCAGGAAGAGAGAAGGAGCAGGCACUCCCUGCAGAACGGCCGUAACCCCUGGGGUUGCCGGUGUCCCAGGGGCCGGCCUGGCCCCACGCUGCAAUGGUGGAGCUGCGUCACCCCACACGCUGGGUUUCCCCGACCUAGUGGCGCCCGGCCGGGUUGGGACAGGUGUGGGUGAGGGCGGGGCGGCCAGGGGAGGAGACGGGAACCGCACCUGACAUAACACGCUUUUUCUCUUCUAAGCUUCCUAGGACUCCAGAAAGCACAGUCCUCUCUGUCCAGAGGACGGAACAGGUUUGAGGAGGUGACAUCGCUUGGCACGUGGCCAAGCCCCAUGGGGCUCGAGAUCAAAUCAGCCCGAGGUCCCACGCGCGUUAAACUGCUCAGGCUGGCGCGGUGGACGUUUUAAACGUCUGUGUUUCCCU
Long non-coding RNA from Neofelis nebulosa (Clouded leopard), 818 nucleotides. RefSeq lists it as uncharacterized. The record is from RefSeq and is a predicted model, not a curated record. The transcript has 3 exons. NCBI's taxonomy places the organism in Eukaryota, Metazoa, Chordata, Mammalia, Carnivora, Felidae.